Molecule: transfer RNA, 95 nt
Filed under: Pseudomonadota bacterium
Lineage: Bacteria; Pseudomonadati; Pseudomonadota
Description: Proteobacteria bacterium (freshwater metagenome) tRNA-Ser
Rfam family: tRNA
About the family: Transfer RNA (tRNA) molecules are approximately 80 nucleotides in length. Their secondary structure includes four short double-helical elements and three loops (D, anti-codon, and T loops).
Source: RNAcentral
GGAACGGUGGCCGAGUGGCUGAAGGCGGCGGUUUGCUAAACCGUUAUACGCGGGUCAACUGCGUAUCGGGGGUUCGAAUCCCCCCCGUUCCGCCA